AUCAAGGCCAGGAAUGGAAAGAGUACCCUGAUGGAGUUGUCUCAGCGAGCCGGCGGCAGGUGGAAGGUCCGGCACAACGGAUUCAGGCGAAUGGCUCCAUUCGCUUCGGCCCGAACGCGCAAGCCGCAAGGCACCGCCAGUAGGCUCCGACGGGAGGUCCCGCCGUUAUCACGGGAAUCAUGUUAGCCGUUUUGACAUGACAAGAGCAGCGGCGCUUGGCCGAAUUCGGGUGGUAUCGCGGAGUUUAUACACUUCGUCCCUUUC
Molecule: non-coding RNA, 264 nt
Filed under: Paenibacillus sp. P22
Lineage: Bacteria; Bacillati; Bacillota; Bacilli; Caryophanales; Paenibacillaceae
Source: RNAcentral